AAAAGCUUAGCGCUUAAGACAAAUUAUGAAACGUAAUGCUUGCGUGUUUCCAGCUCGAUCGUAUUAUAUAUCUUUGAAACUUUUCUAUAAAAGGAAGAAAGAUAUGUUUGGUGCUGUAGAAGUAGCCGACGUUCACUGCAAGGACUAGAAUCGGAGGAAGAAUCAUUAUAUGGCUAAGAAGGAAUCUGGAAAAGAGAUCUUUGAGGAAGUGACUCGGGAGUCACUAAUAGCCAUAUCUUACUCUGCACCAGAGAAGGAUCUUUCUGUUCGAUCCAGACCUGAAAAAUCCUACGCCGAGAAUGUUAUUAAAGCGGUAAAUGGUGACAAAUAUGAUAAUUACAGGUCUAUGCUGAUCAGAAUGUACUACACAAAGUCACCAGACACCAAAGUUGAACCAGUCACUUGGGAACUCUAGGGCUAAGGCUAGAUUAAUCAAUCCAGAUUUUUAUAAUUGUCUGCCUUUGCAACAUGUUCUGUUUUACAGAUAAAUACUGGACUUUACCGUGUGAACUCUUUUGUUGUAUCAACCUAAACCAAAAUCAAGCAGACAAGUAUAUUUUACCAGCCUUUAAAUUUAGUUUUUUUUAUGUUUGAACUGCAGUACUCUCUCACUAUAAAUGUUAAAUCUUCUUUUUAUUUCUUUACCAAA
Molecule: long non-coding RNA, 649 nt
Organism: Solanum dulcamara
Lineage: Eukaryota; Viridiplantae; Streptophyta; Magnoliopsida; Solanales; Solanaceae
Exons: 2
Source: RefSeq, a predicted model, not a curated record